CCUACGGGAGGCAGCAGUGAGGAAUAUUGGUCAAUGGCCGGAAGGCUGACCCAGCCAAGCCGCGUGAAGGACGAAGGUGCCAAGCAUUGUACACUUCUUUUGUCAAGGGACAAAAUCAGGCUCGAGAGCCUGACCGCGGGUACUUGAAGAAAAAUCAUCGUCUAACUCCGUGCCAGCAGCAGCGGUAAUACGGAGGAUGCGAGCGUUAUCCGGAUUUAUGGGGUUUAAAGGGGGCGUAGGAGGACUGUUAAGUCAGCGGUAAAAGCCCGGGGCUCAACCCAGGCGAGCCGUUGAACCUGGCUGUCUUGAGAUGUCGAGAGGUAUGCGGAAUGCGCAGUGUAGCGGUGAAAUGCUUAGAUAUUGCGCAGAACUCCGAUUGCGAAGGCAGCAUACCGGCGGCGAUCUGACGCUGAGGCACGAAAGCGUGGGUAUCGAACAGGAUUAGAUACCCCGGUAAUC
This 459-nucleotide ribosomal RNA is filed under the name uncultured bacterium. RNAcentral's name for it is "partial 16S ribosomal RNA". It matches the Rfam family "Bacterial small subunit ribosomal RNA", at positions 338 to 795 of the family's 1533-position model. The record is from RNAcentral.